GCCCGCCCGCUCCGCCCUGCUGCGCCCUCGGGGAAACUGGUGAAACAAGUUUCGCUAAAAGAAAAAGUCUCUGGCCGGACCGGAAGUCACCCUCACGUCCCAUUCCUGUCAGGCACAGAUCCAGGAGACUAACUGGUAAGAAUUCUUACCUUGUGCUGGCUGUGUCAGAGAUCCCAGGAUCUCUCAGCUGCAGUGGCCCUGGAGUGAGCAGUGUACAACCAGUGACAUCCCAUCCUUGUCAGCAGAACUGUAGAGAUGUAAGAGAAUAUAUGUUUUUCUGGAACAAAAACGAUGCCGUGAAAAUUAAACAGAACCAGAAACAGCUCUUAGAAAUUAAAAAUAUGAUGGAAGAAAUGAAAUACUUAAUAAAAGAGUUGGAUGAUAAAAGAACACCCCAGAAAACAUUAAAAAUACAAAGAAAAGAUAAGGAAAUUAGAGGAGUAGUCCAGGAGUUAUGACAUUUGAGAAACAGAAGUUCAGAAUGUGAAAAUGGAAAACAGAAGACAGGAAAUCAGUCAUAAGGCAGAUUUGCCUUGCCUUAGGGGCUUUCCCUGAGAAGCCUAGGACUCUGGCUCACACUGUGGUGGCUGUACUUACCCACUUUCUUCUGAAAUUUGGCAAAGAAAUACUAAAAGAUGCUCCAGUGGAUGAAUCUGGGUACCAAACAUAUUUCUUCCUGCUCCCACGGUUCUUUAGGCUGUAAUCACUGCAUUCCUGGGAUCUCAUUCAAUGUUGGCUCGCUCCUGCCUUCUAUACAGCCACUAGCACAUAAG
Molecule: long non-coding RNA, 773 nt
Organism: Leopardus geoffroyi (Geoffroy's cat)
Lineage: Eukaryota; Metazoa; Chordata; Mammalia; Carnivora; Felidae
Exons: 5
Source: RefSeq, a predicted model, not a curated record